This is a long non-coding RNA of Pseudophryne corroboree (corroboree frog), 832 nucleotides long. RefSeq lists it as uncharacterized. The record is from RefSeq and is a predicted model, not a curated record. The transcript is spliced from 3 exons. Lineage: Eukaryota; Metazoa; Chordata; Amphibia; Anura; Myobatrachidae.
ACCUGCUGUAAAUGUCAGUUUACAGCAGACAUCAAAUGCCCAGGGUUACAGAGCAGGAAGCCGGCAAUCAGAUGACCAGAUGCACGGAGGAGCUCACCGCAUCCCUAUCACUGCACCAGGAGGGAUUACAUCCCACUUCUUGAUUAAUCUGGUUACCAUGUCAACGCCCCGACAAGCAGCGGACAACGCUUUCCGGAAAAGGUAGGCGGCAACAUGCCCCAUUAUGUUUUGGUGCUGGUUGCUAAGCUACAUACCGCCGGAGAAUGGGAGGACGCUGUGUGACGUCACGUCAACGCUUGCGGAGACGCCGGCCGGAAGUGACGUUCACCGGAAGUGCGGGCGGCCCAGAUCCAGGAACGGGAGACGCACGUGUGGAGUGACUGCUCUAGAGGGUAUUUAGGGUAGAUAGAACUGGGAUAAAAGACGCAAAAUCAAAACCUGAAAUGUUUCGUUAUUUUAUCCAUAUUUACCUAUACACAAUUUUUAAAUAUACCCCACAAUGAACCACAAAUAAAGACAUUUUGGACAAUGCUAUGCUUCCAACUUUGUGGCAACAGUUUGGGGAAGGACCUUUUCUAUUCCAACAUGACUGUGCUCUGGUGCACAAAGCAAGAACUAUAAAGACAUGGUUUGAUGAGUUUGGUGUGAAAGAACUUGACUGGUCCGCACUGAGCCCUGACCUCAUCCCCAUCAAGCACCUUUGGGAUGAACUAGAAUGGAGAUUGCAUGCCAGACCUACUUGUCCAACAUUAGUGCCUGGCCUCAUAAAUGCUCUACAGAAUGAAUGGGCACAAGUUCCCACAGAAACACUCCAAAAUCUUGUGGAGAGCUG